CAUCCUCUUUUAAGUUGUUCGGGUAUAAAUAAAAACUGCCUAUUAAUUCUAAGGAUAGGUAUAAGUUCAAGUACAAGAAAUAACUAGACAAAUUUUGUAUUUGAAUGAAAAUUGACUGCUCCCAAUAAUAAGAAAAAUAACGUAUGGUUAGAUAGAAUGUAAUAAGAAAAAUAAUGAUUAGCUAUAAAUAAAAAAUAAAAUAAAAAAUAAUGAUAUUACUCCUUUCAUUAUAUUUGAAUUUAAAAUUUAAAAUUUUAUAUUUAUAUUUUUAA
Molecule: long non-coding RNA, 272 nt
Filed under: Ananas comosus (pineapple)
Lineage: Eukaryota; Viridiplantae; Streptophyta; Magnoliopsida; Poales; Bromeliaceae
Description: long non-coding RNA (ACOM_LNC009211)
Source: RNAcentral